GGACGGAAAGACCCCAUGGAGCUUUACUGCAGUUUGAUAUUGAGUAUCUGUACCACAUGUACAGGAUAGGUAGGAGCCUAUGAAGUCGGGACGCCAGUUUCGACAGAGGCGCUGUUGGGAUACUACCCUUGUGUUAUGGCUACUCUAACCCGGAUAGGUUAUCCCUAUCGGAGACAGUGUCUGACGGGCAGUUUGACUGGGGCGGUCGCCUCCUAAAAGGU
RNAcentral lists this ribosomal RNA (221 nucleotides) under Streptococcus suis. RNAcentral describes it as "partial 23S ribosomal RNA". It matches the Rfam family "Bacterial large subunit ribosomal RNA", at positions 2078 to 2298 of the family's 2925-position model. Lineage: Bacteria; Bacillati; Bacillota; Bacilli; Lactobacillales; Streptococcaceae. The record is from RNAcentral.